Molecule: ribosomal RNA, 935 nt
Filed under: uncultured bacterium
Lineage: Bacteria
Description: bacterial SSU rRNA
Rfam family: Bacterial small subunit ribosomal RNA
Source: RNAcentral
UUAGAGUUUGAUCAUGGCUCAGAUUGAACGCUGGCGGCAGGCCUAACACAUGCAAGUCGAGCGGUAACAGAAAGUAGCUUGCUACUUUGCUGACGAGCGGCGGACGGGUGAGUAAUGCUUGGGAACAUGCCUUGAGGUGGGGGACAACAGUUGGAAACGACUGCUAAUACCGCAUAAUGUCUACGGACCAAAGGGGGCUUCGGCUCUCGCCUUUAGAUUGGCCCAAGUGGGAUUAGCUAGUUGGUGAGGUAAUGGCUCACCAAGGCGACGAUCCCUAGCUGGUUUGAGAGGAUGAUCAGCCACACUGGGACUGAGACACGGCCCAGACUCCUACGGGAGGCAGCAGUGGGGAAUAUUGCACAAUGGGCGCAAGCCUGAUGCAGCCAUGCCGCGUGUGUGAAGAAGGCCUUCGGGUUGUAAAGCACUUUCAGUCAGGAGGAAAGCGUGGUGGUUAAUACCCAUCAUGUGUGACGUUACUGACAGAAGAAGCACCGGCUAACUCCGUGCCAGCAGCCGCGGUAAUACGGAGGGUGCGAGCGUUAAUCGGAAUUACUGGGCGUAAAGCGUACGCAGGCGGUUUGUUAAGCGAGAUGUGAAAGCCCCGGGCUCAACCUGGGAACUGCAUUUCGAACUGGCAAACUAGAGUGUGAUAGAGGGUGGUAGAAUUUCAGGUGUAGCGGUGAAAUGCGUAGAGAUCUGAAGGAAUACCGAUGGCGAAGGCAGCCACCUGGGUCAACACUGACGCUCAUGUACGAAAGCGUGGGGAGCAAACGGGAUUAGAUACCCCGGUAGUCCACGCCGUAAACGAUGUCUACUAGAAGCUCGGAGCCUCGGGUUCUGUUUUUCAAAGCUAACGCAUUAAGUAGACCGCCUGGGGAGUACGGCCGCAAGGUUAAAACUCAAAUGAAUUGACGGGGGCCCGCACAAGCGGUGGA